This 253-nucleotide ribosomal RNA is filed under the name uncultured bacterium. Its description in RNAcentral is "partial 16S ribosomal RNA". It matches the Rfam family "Bacterial small subunit ribosomal RNA", at positions 524 to 776 of the family's 1533-position model. The record is from RNAcentral.
UACAGAGGUGGCAAGCGUUGUUCGGAAUUACUGGGCGUAAAGGGCGCGUAGGCGGCCAUCUAAGUCAGACGUGAAAUCCCCCGGCUUAACCUGGGAACUGCGUCUGAUACUGGAAGGCUUGAGUAUGGGAGAGGGAUGCGGAAUUCCAGGUGUAGCGGUGAAAUGCGUAGAUAUCUGGAGGAACACCGGUGGCGAAGGCGGCAUCCUGGACCGAGAUUGACGCUGAGGCGCGAAAGCCAGGGGAGCAAACGGG